This is a non-coding RNA of Salmo salar (Atlantic salmon), 53 nucleotides long. NCBI's taxonomy places the organism in Eukaryota, Metazoa, Chordata, Actinopteri, Salmoniformes, Salmonidae. The record is from Rfam.
UACAAAAAAAAAGUAAGUCGCUCUGGAUAAGAGCGUCUGCUAAAUGACUAAAA